Ribosomal RNA from Kitasatospora cheerisanensis KCTC 2395, 864 nucleotides. It matches the Rfam family "Bacterial large subunit ribosomal RNA", at positions 2046 to 2912 of the family's 2925-position model. The record is from Rfam. Lineage: Bacteria; Bacillati; Actinomycetota; Actinomycetes; Kitasatosporales; Streptomycetaceae.
AUUACGAGUAAAGAUGCUCGUUUCGCGCAGCAGGACGGAAAGACCCCGGGACCACUAUAGCUUGAUAUUGGUGUUCGGUUCGGCUUGUGUAGGAUAGGUGGGAGACUUUGAAGCAGCAACGCCAGUUGUUGUGGAGUCGCCGUUGAAAUACCACUCUGGUCGUGCUGGAUGUCUAACCUGGGUCCGUGAUCCGGAUCAGGGACAGUGUCUGGUGGGUAGUUUAACUGGGGCGGUUGCCUCCUAAAGGGUAACGGAGGCGCCCAAAGGUUCCCUCAGCCUGGUUGGCAAUCAGGUGUUGAGUGUAAGUGCACAAGGGAGCUUGACUGUGAGACUGACGGGUCGAGCAGGUACGAAAGUAGGGACUAGUGAUCCGGCGGUGGCUUGUGGAAGCGCCGUCGCUCAACGGAUAAAGGUACCCCGGGGAUAACAGGCUGAUCUUCCCCAAGAGUCCAUAUCGACGGGAUGGUUUGGCACCUCGAUGUCGGCUCGUCGCAUCCUGGGGCUGGAGUAGGUCCCAAGGGUUGGGCUGUUCGCCCAUUAAAGCGGUACGCGAGCUGGGUUUAGAACGUCGUGAGACAGUUCGGUCCCUAUCCGCUGUGCGCGUAGGAGUGUUGAGAAGGGCUGUCCCUAGUACGAGAGGACCGGGACGGACGAACCUCUGGUGUGCCAGUUGUCCUGCCAAGGGCAUGGCUGGUUGGCUACGUUCGGGAGGGAUAACCGCUGAAAGCAUCUAAGCGGGAAGCCUGCUUCGAGAUGAGCACUCCCACCUCCUUGAGAGGGUAAGGCUCCCAGUAGACGACUGGGUUGAUAGGCCGGAUAUGGAAGCCCUGUGAGGGGUGGAGUUGACCGGUACUAAUAGGCCGA